UUCGGAGCUCACUUGCUUCAAAGUUCAUCGGAACUCCGAAGUUAAGCGAGUUCGGGAGAGAGCAUUCCCAAGAUGGGUGACCCACUAGGAAGUUCUCGUGUGAGUUCCUAGAAACAAAACCGUGAGGGCGUGGUCGGGGCCCAAAGCAGACAAUAUCGUGCUACAGUAGAGUCGAGCCUAGGAUGUGGUGGGGGUCCGGGCUACGGUAGAGUCGAGCCUAGGAUGUGGUGGGGGUCCGGGCCGGGAUGUGACAAUUUGGUAUCAGAGCCAAUCCCUAGUCAGAAGUGUGCCAACGAAGACGUCGAGCCCCUAAGGGGGGUGGAUUGUUAGAUCUCACAUCGUCCAGAGGAAUGGAUCAUGUAAGCCUUAUAUGUAUAUUCCCAUCUCUACCUAGCACGAGGCCUUUUGGAAGCUCACUGGCUUCAGGUUAGAAGCCUUUUGGGAGCUCACUGGCUUCGAGUUCUAUCGAAACUCCGAAGUUAAGUGAGUUCGGGCGAGAGCAUUCCUAGGAUGGGUGACCCACUGGGAAGUUGCUCGUGAGUUCCCAGA
RNAcentral lists this small RNA (549 nucleotides) under Malus domestica (apple). Lineage: Eukaryota; Viridiplantae; Streptophyta; Magnoliopsida; Rosales; Rosaceae. The record is from RNAcentral.